GUGUAGUUACUGUCGUUCGUGUAUUAUGGUAAUGAGUUCUUCCAAUUAUUGCUUCGGUUUACCUAGACAAAAGAAGAGAGUUUUAUUAAUAUUUAAAAAUAAUAAAAUAAAAUAAACUAAAAUAAAAAUUGGGUUGCCUCCCAAUAAGCGCUUGUUUAACGUAACUAGCUUGACGCCCCAACUAGUAUUGGGGCUGUUCCAGCAGAAUUCUUUCGUUCGUAUGAGCUUGAAAAUUCUCAUUUUUUAUCACAACCACCAUAUUUGGAUUUAAUCGUCCUUGCGCUUCUUUCUUUGGUUUCGUAUUUUCC
RNAcentral lists this long non-coding RNA (308 nucleotides) under Gossypium barbadense (sea-island cotton). RNAcentral describes it as "long non-coding RNA (GBAR_LNC001940)". The record is from RNAcentral. Lineage: Eukaryota; Viridiplantae; Streptophyta; Magnoliopsida; Malvales; Malvaceae.